GCCCGGGUGGCGGAAUUGGUAGACGCGUUGGUCUCAAAAACCAAUGAGCUUUGCUCGUGCCGGUUCGAUCCCGGCUCCGGGUA
Molecule: transfer RNA, 83 nt
Filed under: Bacteroidales bacterium
Lineage: Bacteria; Pseudomonadati; Bacteroidota; Bacteroidia; Bacteroidales
Description: tRNA-Leu
Rfam family: tRNA
About the family: Transfer RNA (tRNA) molecules are approximately 80 nucleotides in length. Their secondary structure includes four short double-helical elements and three loops (D, anti-codon, and T loops).
Source: RNAcentral